GGGCGGUUAGCUCAGCUGGAAGAGCGCCACGUUUACACCGUGGAUGUCGGAGGUUCGAACCCUUCACCGCCCACCA
This 76-nucleotide transfer RNA is filed under the name Rhodospirillaceae bacterium. Its description in RNAcentral is "tRNA-Val". It matches the Rfam family "tRNA". Rfam says of the family: Transfer RNA (tRNA) molecules are approximately 80 nucleotides in length. Lineage: Bacteria; Pseudomonadati; Pseudomonadota; Alphaproteobacteria; Rhodospirillales; Rhodospirillaceae. The record is from RNAcentral.